GACGAACGCUGGCGGCGUGCCUAAUACAUGCAAGUCGAACGAGAGCGACCGGUGCUUGCACUGGUCAAUCUAGUGGCGAACGGGUGAGUAACACGUGGGUAACCUGCCCAUCAGAGGGGGAUAACAUCCGGAAACGGAUGCUAAAACCGCAUAGGUCUUCGAGCCGCAUGGCUUGAAGAGGAAAAGAGGCGCAAGCUUCUGCUGAUGGAUGGACCCGCGGUGCAUUAGCUAGUUGGUGAGGUAACGGCUCACCAAGGCCGUGAUGCAUAGCCGACCUGAGAGGGUGAUCGGCCACAUUGGGACUGAGACACGGCCCAAACUCCUACGGGAGGCAGCAGUAGGGAAUCUUCCGCAAUGGACGCAAGUCUGACGGAGCAACGCCGCGUGAGUGAAGAAGGGUUUCGGAUCGUAAAACUCUGUUGUUAGAGAAGAACAAGUGCUAGAGUAACUGUUAGCGCCUUGACGGUAUCUAACCAGAAAGCCACGGCUAACUACGUG
Molecule: ribosomal RNA, 498 nt
Filed under: uncultured bacterium
Lineage: Bacteria
Description: partial 16S ribosomal RNA
Rfam family: Bacterial small subunit ribosomal RNA
Source: RNAcentral